RNAcentral lists this ribosomal RNA (403 nucleotides) under Fusobacteriota bacterium. RNAcentral's name for it is "Fusobacteria bacterium partial 16S ribosomal RNA". It matches the Rfam family "Bacterial small subunit ribosomal RNA", at positions 355 to 776 of the family's 1533-position model. The record is from RNAcentral. Lineage: Bacteria; Fusobacteriati; Fusobacteriota.
UGGGGAAUUUUGCACAAUGGAGGAAACUCUGAUGCAGCGACGCCGCGUGAGUGAUGAAGAUCUUCGGAUUGUAAAACUCUGUCCUUAGUGAAGAUAAUGACAGUAACUAAGAAGCAAGCCCUGGCUAAAUACGUGCCAGCAGCCGCGGUAAUACGCAUGGGGCAAGCGUUGUCCGGAAUUAUUGGGCGUAAAGGGUACGUAGGCGGUUUAAUAAGUCCUAAUUAAAAGGCUAUGGCUCAACCAUAGUAUGGUUAGGAAACUGUUGAACUUGAGUGGAUGAGGGGAAAGUGGAAUUCCAUGUGUAGCGGUGAAAUGCGUAGAUAUAUGGAGGAACACCAAUGGCGAAGGCAACUUUCUGGAAUCAAACUGACGCUGAGGUACGAAGGCGUGGGGAGCAAACAGG